UGGCUUAAUGGUUAAAGCAAUCGGCUGCUAACCGAAAGGCUGGUGGUUUGAAACCACC
This 58-nucleotide transfer RNA is filed under the name Loxodonta africana (African savanna elephant). It matches the Rfam family "tRNA", at positions 8 to 63 of the family's 71-position model. Rfam says of the family: Transfer RNA (tRNA) molecules are approximately 80 nucleotides in length. Their secondary structure includes four short double-helical elements and three loops (D, anti-codon, and T loops). Lineage: Eukaryota; Metazoa; Chordata; Mammalia; Proboscidea; Elephantidae. The record is from Rfam by way of RNAcentral.